GCAAACUUGGUCAUUUAGAGGAAGUAAAAGUCGUAACAAGGUCUCCGUUGGUGAACCAGCGGAGGGAUCAUUACGAAAAGAGUAUCCGUACUCGUAACCCUUUGUGAACCUUACCUAUCGUCUGUUUCUUCGGCGGGAGGCCCCUGGGAGGGGCCCCGGGGCCCGGCCUGAGCCGGGCUCCCGCCGGAGGGGCGCAACCAAAACUCUUGCUGUACCACAGUGGCAACUCCGAGUUAAUCAUAAAAACAAGUUAAAACUUUCAACAACGGAUCUCUUGGUUCUGGCAUCGAUGAAGAACGCAGC
RNAcentral lists this unclassified non-coding RNA (303 nucleotides) under uncultured fungus. RNAcentral describes it as "partial contains small subunit ribosomal RNA, internal transcribed spacer 1, and 5.8S ribosomal RNA". The stretch from base 1 to 73 matches the Rfam family "Eukaryotic small subunit ribosomal RNA", at positions 1759 to 1831 of the family's 1831-position model. The record is from RNAcentral. Lineage: Eukaryota; Fungi.